AAACUCUCUAAGACUUUCCCCACACUGACUCCUGCCUGACACCUCAUUCUACAAGCUUCCUGACCUCAUUCCGAUUAUCCAGUGAGGGGAUGAUUUUCUUUUCAACACUCAAGAUGCUUGUCAUGCAAUACUGUCUCAAGAUGGCUGGGACACAUGAAAAGGCCAGUCAUGCUAUCUGAAGCUGCAGAAUCUCCAUGACACAGAGCAAUGAAAGGAUAAAUGGGAGGAGGCCCUGUGAGGAUCCAAUAUUGUCACAGAAGCCAGAGAUCUCAAACAGACCAAUGACUCAUCGCAGUGGACAUUUACAAGAGAAGGUGUGUGAAUGCAGUACACACUGUGACAAACUACAGCUUUCAGGACGAGGAAACUCCAUCAGUAAACUGGCAUGGUGUGGCAGCAAUGGAAGUAGGAACCAAUGAAUCUGAUCAAGAAACAAUGAAAAUGGAGGCAUGAAGACUUUGCUCAGAAACAAAUCCUUCAAACACGGCCCAUCUUUAGACACCUUCCUCUUGCACUGUAUCUGGCUGAGAUA
Long non-coding RNA from Rattus rattus (black rat), 532 nucleotides. RefSeq lists it as uncharacterized. Lineage: Eukaryota; Metazoa; Chordata; Mammalia; Rodentia; Muridae. The transcript has 3 exons. The record is from RefSeq and is a predicted model, not a curated record.